RNAcentral lists this microRNA (18 nucleotides) under Homo sapiens (human). Its description in RNAcentral is "hsa-miR-4305". The record is from miRBase by way of RNAcentral. Lineage: Eukaryota; Metazoa; Chordata; Mammalia; Primates; Hominidae.
CCUAGACACCUCCAGUUC